GGCUCAGACUUUUUGGCUGCAAAUCCAUUUUUGGGAAUUCCCCUGGGCUU
RNAcentral lists this transfer RNA (50 nucleotides) under Varanus brevicauda (Short-tailed pygmy monitor). Its description in RNAcentral is "tRNA-Cys". Lineage: Eukaryota; Metazoa; Chordata; Lepidosauria; Squamata; Varanidae. The record is from RNAcentral.